UUUGCUCCCCACGCUUUCGUGCCUCAGUGUCAGUGCUGGUCCAGGUAGUCGCCUUCGCCACUGGUGUUCCUCCCGAUCUCUACGCAUUUCACUGCUACACCGGGAAUUCCACUACCCUCUACCGCACUCUAGCCUGCCAGUAUCCAAUGCAAUUCCCAGGUUGAGCCCAGGGCUUUCACAUCAGACUUAACGGACCACCUACGCACGCUUUACGCCCAGUAAUUCCGAGUAACGCUUGCACCCUUCGUAUUACCGCGGCUGCUGGCACGAAGUUAGCCGGUGCUUAUUCUUCCGGUACCGUCAGGACCCCGGGGUAUUAACCCGAAGCUUUUCUUUCCGGACAAAAGGGCUUUACAACCCGAAGGCCUUCUUCACCCACGCGGCAUGGCUGGAUCAGGCUUGCGCCCAUUGUCCAAUAUUCCCCACUGCUGCCUCCCGUAGGAGUCUGGACCGUGUCUCAGUUCCAGUGUGGCUGAUCAUCCUCUCAGACCAGCUACGGAUCGUCGCCUUGGUGGGCCUUUACCCCGCCAACUAGCUAAUCCGACAUGGGCUCAUCCAAUCGCGCGACGCCUUGCGGUCCGCCGCUUUCACCUCUCGGUCGUAUGCGGUAUUAGCGUAAGUUUCCCUACGUUAUCCCCCACGACAGGGUAGAUUCCCAUGUAUUCCUCACCCGUCCGCCACUCGCCACCCAGGGAGCAAGCUCCCCUGUGCUGCCGUUCGACUUGCAUGUGUUAGGCCUGCCGCCAGCGUUCACUCUGAGCCAGGAUCAAACUC
Molecule: ribosomal RNA, 774 nt
Filed under: uncultured bacterium
Lineage: Bacteria
Description: partial 16S ribosomal RNA
Source: RNAcentral